CCGAGUUCUGGGUUCUCUCAUCGAGGCCCGCUCUCCCACCCUUUGUGAACUUAACCUCUGUUGCUUUGGCGUGGCCAGCGCUUUCCGUAAAAAGAAGCGCGGCCGGCGGGGCCUGGCCCCCGCUGGUGAGCUGCCCGCCAGAGGACUAUCAAACUCUUGUCAGUAAACGAUGCAGUCUGAUUCAAACAUUUAAUUGUUUA
This 200-nucleotide unclassified non-coding RNA is filed under the name uncultured Ascomycota. RNAcentral describes it as "sequence contains ITS1". Lineage: Eukaryota; Fungi; Ascomycota. The record is from RNAcentral.